GACGAACGCUGGCGGCGUGCUUAACACAUGCAAGUCGAACGGAAAGGCCCCUUUGGGGGUACUCGAGUGGCGCACGGGUGAGUAACACGUGAGUAACCUGCCCUUGACUUCGGGAUAACUUCAGGAAACUGGGGCUAAUACCGGAUAGGAAUCCUUGCUCCAUGGGGGGGGUUGGAAAGCUUCGGCGGUUUUGGAUGGACUCGCGGCUUAUCAGCUUGUUGGUGGGGUAGUGGCUUACCAAGGCUUUGACGGGUAGCCGGCCUGAGAGGGCGACCGGCCACAUUGGGACUGAGAUACGGCCCAGACUCCUACGGGAGGCAGCAGUGGGGAAUAUUGCACAAUGGGCGGAAGCCUGAUGCAGCAACGCCGCGUGCGGGAGGACGGCCUUCGGGUUGUAAACCGCUUUCAGCAGGGGCGAAGCUUGUGGUGACGGUACCUGCAGAAGAAGCACCGGCUAACUACGUG
Molecule: ribosomal RNA, 465 nt
Filed under: uncultured bacterium
Lineage: Bacteria
Description: partial 16S ribosomal RNA
Rfam family: Bacterial small subunit ribosomal RNA
Source: RNAcentral